CCUACGGGUGGCAGCAGUGGGGAAUAUUGCACAAUGGGGGAAACCCUGAUGCAGCGACGCCGCGUGAGUGAAGAAGUAUCUCGGUAUGUAAAGCUCUAUCAGCAGGGAAGAAAAUGACGGUACCUGACUCAGAAGCCCCGGCUAACUACGUGCCAGCAGCCGCGGUAAUACGGAGGGGGCAAGCGUUAUCCGGAUUUACUGGGUGUAAAGGGAGCGUAGACGGCAGCGCAAGUCUGGAGUGAAAUCCCGGGGCGCAACCCCGGAACUGCUUUGGAAACUGUGCAGCUUGAGUGCAGGAGAGGUAAGCGGAAUUCCUGGUGUAGCGGUGAAAUGCGUAGAGAUUAGGAGGAACACCAGUGGCGAAGGCGGCGUACUGGACUGUAACUGACGUUGAGGCUCGAAAGCGUGGGGAGCAAACAGGAUUAGAUACCCGGGUAGUC
RNAcentral lists this ribosomal RNA (440 nucleotides) under uncultured bacterium. RNAcentral's name for it is "partial 16S ribosomal RNA". It matches the Rfam family "Bacterial small subunit ribosomal RNA", at positions 338 to 795 of the family's 1533-position model. The record is from RNAcentral.